UUUACCGGGCUUUAUCGGUUGUUGCUGCAUGAAGUCUGCUGCAAUUUCUCUGAGAUUUCUCAAGAUCAUCAGUUUGGACAGAAUUCAUUUGAAGAAUUAAUAGCACUAGCAGGUUCCAAUAAAGGCUGGAACAGAACAGACAGAAAAGAAUCUGUCAGAAGAAAUUCAACUACUGUUCGUGCACCAGAUGGUGAAGUAGAAAAGUUCGUAAAAACUUCUGCAGCUUGCAUCUGACAGAGAUGCAAAAAGAAUAAGAGAGCGGUCCUGAAAACAAGCAAAUUCAAGGUAUUUCAAUUG
This is a long non-coding RNA of Paramisgurnus dabryanus, 297 nucleotides long. RefSeq lists it as uncharacterized. The record is from RefSeq and is a predicted model, not a curated record. NCBI's taxonomy places the organism in Eukaryota, Metazoa, Chordata, Actinopteri, Cypriniformes, Cobitidae.